Molecule: ribosomal RNA, 40 nt
Filed under: Gymnoascus exasperatus
Lineage: Eukaryota; Fungi; Ascomycota; Eurotiomycetes; Onygenales; Gymnoascaceae
Description: partial 28S ribosomal RNA
Source: RNAcentral
CGGAUCAGGUAGGGAUACCCGCUGAACUUAAGCAUAUCAA